GUGUCAGCAGCCGCGGUAAUACGUAGGUGGCAAGCGUUAUCCGUAAUUAUUGGGCGUAAAGCGCGCGCAGGUGGUUUCUUAAGUCUGAUGUGAAAGCCCACGGCUCAACCGUGGAGGGUCAUUGGAACCUGGGAGACUUGAGUGCAGAAGAGGAAAGUGGAAUUCCAUGUGUAGCGGUGAAAUGCGUAGAGAUAUGGAGGAACACCAGUGGCGAAGGCGACUUUCUGGUCUGUAACUGACACUGAGGCGCGGAAGCGUGGGGAGCAAACAGGAUUAGAUACCCGGGUAGUCCACGGCGUAAACAAUGAGUGCUAAGAAGUAGAGGGGUUGGGCCCUUGAGUGCUGAAGUUAACGCAUUAAGCACUCCGCCUGGGGAGUACGGCCGCAAGGCUGAAACUCAAAGGAAUUGACGGGG
RNAcentral lists this ribosomal RNA (415 nucleotides) under Bacillus thuringiensis. RNAcentral's name for it is "bacterial SSU rRNA". It matches the Rfam family "Bacterial small subunit ribosomal RNA", at positions 505 to 918 of the family's 1533-position model. Lineage: Bacteria; Bacillati; Bacillota; Bacilli; Caryophanales; Bacillaceae. The record is from RNAcentral.